GGGGAAUAUUGGACAAUGGGCGAAAGCCUGAUCCAGCCAUGCCGCGUGUGUGAAGAAGGCCUUUUGGUUGUAAAGCACUUUAAGCGAGGAGGAGGCUACUGAGAUUAAUACUCUUGGAUAGUGGACGUUACUCGCAGAAUAAGCACCGGCUAACUCUGUGCCAGCAGCCGCGGUAAUACAGAGGGUGCGAGCGUUAAUCGGAUUUACUGGGCGUAAAGCGUGCGUAGGCGGCUUUUUAAGUCGGAUGUGAAAUCCCUGAGCUUAACUUAGGAAUUGCAUUCGAUACUGGGAAGCUAGAGUAUGGGAGAGGAUGGUAGAAUUCCAGGUGUAGCGGUGAAAUGCGUAGAGAUCUGGAGGAAUACCGAUGGCGAAGGCAGCCAUCUGGUCUAAUACUGACGCUGAGGUACGAAAGCAUGGGGAGCAAACAGGAUUAGAUACCCUGGUAGUCCAUGCCGUAAACGAUGUCUACUAGCCGUUGGGGCCUUUGAGGCUUUAGUGGCGCAGCUAACGCGAUAAGUAGACCGCCUGGGGAGUACGGUCGCAAGACUAAAACUCAAAUGAAUUGACGGGGGCCCGCACAAGCGGUGGAGCAUGUGGUUUAAUUCGAUGCAACGCGAAGAACCUUACCUGGUCUUGACAUAGUAAGAACUUUCCAGAGAUGGAUUGGUGCCUUCGGGAACUUACAUACAGGUGCUGCAUGGCUGUCGUCAGCUCGUGUCGUGAGAUGUUGGGUUAAGUC
This 739-nucleotide ribosomal RNA is filed under the name uncultured bacterium. Its description in RNAcentral is "bacterial SSU rRNA". It matches the Rfam family "Bacterial small subunit ribosomal RNA", at positions 356 to 1086 of the family's 1533-position model. The record is from RNAcentral.